RNAcentral lists this unclassified non-coding RNA (260 nucleotides) under uncultured Coltricia. RNAcentral's name for it is "sequence contains ITS2". The record is from RNAcentral. Lineage: Eukaryota; Fungi; Basidiomycota; Agaricomycetes; Hymenochaetales; Hymenochaetaceae.
UAAUAUCAGUUCCCUCAGGUUUUUGUAAUGAAGACCUGCUUAGGUGAAUUGGAAUUGGAGGUUCAAUGCAGGUCCCCCCUACAUUAGGGAUCAGCUCCUCUUAAAUGCAUUAGCUGGAGGAUGAAAGCAAAAGUUGCUCUUUAGCACUGUUCAUCUGCUAUGGUGUAAUAAUUGUUCCAUCAUGGCUUUUGGAUGAAUUUAGAAAAGAGCUUCUUAUUGCAGUCUUGCUCUGCUUCUAAUUGUCAGUUGACUUAUUGACU